RNAcentral lists this transfer RNA (78 nucleotides) under Bacteroidales bacterium. RNAcentral describes it as "tRNA-Asp". It matches the Rfam family "tRNA". From Rfam's summary of the family: Transfer RNA (tRNA) molecules are approximately 80 nucleotides in length. Lineage: Bacteria; Pseudomonadati; Bacteroidota; Bacteroidia; Bacteroidales. The record is from RNAcentral. RNAcentral also lists the same sequence under 2 other names.
GGUGCGGUAGUUCAGUUUGGUUAGAAUACAUGCCUGUCACGCAUGGGGUCGCGAGUUCGAGCCUCGUCCGCACCGCCA